This 222-nucleotide ribosomal RNA is filed under the name uncultured bacterium. RNAcentral describes it as "partial 16S ribosomal RNA". It matches the Rfam family "Bacterial small subunit ribosomal RNA", at positions 109 to 334 of the family's 1533-position model. The record is from RNAcentral.
AGCAAUGUCUGGGAAACUGCCUGAUGGAGGGGGAUAACUACUGGAAGCGGUAGCUAAUACCGCAUAACGUCGCAAGACCAAAGAGGGGGACCUUCGGGCCUCUUGCCAUCGGAUGUGCCCAGAUGGGAUUAGCUAGUAGGUGGGGUAACGGCUCACCUAGGCGACGAUCCCUAGCUGGUCUGAGAGGAUGACCAGCCACACUGGAACUGAGACACGGUCCAG